CCUACGGGUGGCAGCAGUCGAGAAUCAUUCACAAUGGGGGAAACCCUGAUGGUGUGACGCCGCGUGGGGGAAUGAAGGUCUUCGGAUUGUAAACCCCUGUCAUGUGGGAGCAAAUUAAAAAGAUAGUACCACAAGAGGAAGAGACGGCUAACUCUGUGCCAGCAGCCGCGGUAAUACAGAGGUCUCAAGCGUUGUUCGGAAUCACUGGGCGUAAAGCGUGCGUAGGCUGUUUCGUAAGUCGUGUGUGAAAGGCGCGGGCUCAACCCGCGGACGGCACAUGAUACUGCGAGACUAGAGUAAGGGAGGGGGAACAGGAAGUCUCGGUGUAGCAGUGAAAUGCGUAGAUAUCGAGAGGAACACUCGUGGCGAAGGCGGGUUCCUGGACAUUAACUGACGCUGAGGCACGAAGGCCAGGGGAGCGAAAGGGAUUAGAUACCCGAGUAGUC
This 446-nucleotide ribosomal RNA is filed under the name uncultured bacterium. RNAcentral's name for it is "partial 16S ribosomal RNA". It matches the Rfam family "Bacterial small subunit ribosomal RNA", at positions 338 to 795 of the family's 1533-position model. The record is from RNAcentral.